Long non-coding RNA from Amblyraja radiata (thorny skate), 2195 nucleotides. RefSeq lists it as uncharacterized. The record is from RefSeq and is a predicted model, not a curated record. The transcript has 5 exons. Lineage: Eukaryota; Metazoa; Chordata; Chondrichthyes; Rajiformes; Rajidae.
CAGCCAUUUUACUUGGUCAGUUACCAGAUCUUUUGAUGCAACCGAUCGUCUUUGUGGUUUGAGUCGCGCUUCGUGUCAUUUACAGAAAUACUGACCCAUACUCUAGUUUCAUUGCGGCGAGGAAGUGUGCGUUCAGUUGCACAGACCGGAAAUCCUCUGGCGCCAAAUCCUCCGAGCAAGUCGUGAAUGUCUAUGUUGUCCUUAAAGAAACUCUUCGAAGGAGCAUUUACAUCACUACAAGAAAAUAGUCCUUAAACUUCUCGAAGCAACAUCUAUAAACACUGCAAGAAAAAUAAUUGUUUAAGCCUUUGAGUUUUAAUAAUUUCAUCUAACCAGUGGCCCGAUGUGUGAGGAAGAUGUUGGUAAUUAGAUUUUAAACGAAACUUCAAGGACAGGAGCUGAUCGUAGUCUAGGUUACUUGGCGAGGGAGGAGACCGCUGGCAGAAGUAAUUGUAUCCAUAAAAAGUUGCAAGUACGCGUCACAAUGGUUUCAUCGCUGACAGCAGUGAGUUUCUUAGCCAUGUUUAAAGGCAACACUGCAAACUCAAUUAUUUUAAACCGACGAUUAUACGAAAGGACUGUGGAUUUAUCACAGAUUAAUCGCCGAUUAUUUUUAAUCAGCAUAUUCUUGCGAUUGUUUUUGUUUGAACAGUGGUGGUCAUUAACAACAAAAAUGCUCCCAAACUGGCAGUGAAGCUUCAGUCUGGGGAUAAGGAAAACCCAACCAGUUGGGCUGAGUUUGUAAAUAGAACCUCGGUAAUGCUAUGAACAUGAAUACAGUCGCUUCCAACCCUCCUCCUGCAAAAUUAACGAAGAAAAAAACCAAUUUAAACAACAAAUUGAAAGUAAAACCCAAAGAUGUCAAUAACGUUAAAAACAAUCGUAAUCGUAAGGUAAUAGGAAAUUAUGAAUUUUCUAAAAAGGCAAAGUUUUGGGUAGAUUGUAAUGCUACGUUCAUUUGAGAAAUUCAUUAACCCUCAAAUUAUUUUCACUGAUCGUUCCAGCAAAAGAGUAAUUCGCGAACAGAAGACCAGGAAUCAACUAAAGGAGGGUGGUGGCAAAAAAAUGUUAAUGAGACGCCAUUUCCUGGAAAAUAUUCCUCAAAACUUUAUACCCAAGAGGGACUUCUAAAUCCAGUGAAACGAACAUUUAAUUUUGAAAGGAAAGAGAAGAGCAGUUCCAGUACAUCAACAUCACAGUCAGGUGCACAGCUGACCAAAUCUGUUCCGAGUCCAUUACCCUUAACUGAGGUGCGGAGGAAUACGUCUCCUUUGAGAGUUCUUAGAAGCACUACCAGACAGAAAACCGUGCACCCUGUACCUCAAAAGGGUUAGUAAAGGCGGUUUCUUUUCACCAACCAGUCAAGGUUCAUUUCGAUCGUCUGUCAAGCGUUUUCCAACCAUUUACUUUGUUCCUAAAGAAGGGCCGGCACCAGGACACUAUGACGUGAAGGAUCAGACUCUGACUCAGAUCAUGAGUUCCCCCUUUCAGUCCAAAGUGCCUCGGUUUUUACCUAGCACCAGCAAAACGCCAGGACCAGGAACAUAUGAGACUGUCAGACAAGUGCCAAGCUGGACCAAAGCUUCCCCCCGUUACCUCUAUUACUAAUUAAACAUUUUAAAUCUACACAAUCUUGCAACAGAUUUCAUUCAAGUUCGCAAACAUAAAACUUUCCAAUACAACGUACGUCUUGAAUUCCUUAGCGUGAUCUGACAGGUUUAAGAGCCCAAGUCAGAAAGCCAUAGUGGAGACCAGGAUAUGGCCAACAGACUGAACAAUUUGGUUGCUAAACUGAACAAAAUAGUUUCUGUGAACUUACUUCAACUACCACAGUGAAGAUUAAGGAGGAAAAAUCACCAGAGUACUAAAGCAAAGAUGUUUUGCUGAAUCGUUAUAGCUGAUCCUGGUGCUCAUCAGAUUUGUUCAGAUUCUUUGAUAAUUUAUAAAAGUUUCCAGAACCCUGUUGCCUUAGAUUUGACCUUGGACCAUGAAGAAAACGGCAUAGUGUACAGUCUGAAGAAGGGUCAUGAACGGAAACGUCACCCAUUCCUUCUAUCCAGAGAUGCUGCCUAUCCCGCUGAGUUACUCCAGCAAUUUGUGUCUAUCUUCCAUGGUGUAACCAAAUGGGUAUGAAAGAGAUAAAAGAGGUAACUUUUAAUUACUUCUCAUCUAUGGAUAGGAUAGGUUUAGAGGGA